UAGGGAAUCUUCCACAAUGGACGCAAGUCUGAUGGAGCAACGCCGCGUGAGUGAAGAAGGUUUUCGGAUCGUAAAGCUCUGUUGUUGGUGAAGAAGGAUAGAGGCAGUAACUGGUCUUUAUUUGACGGUAAUCAACCAGAAAGUCACGGCUAACUACGUGCCAGCAGCCGCGGUAAUACGUAGGUGGCAAGCGUUGUCCGGAUUUAUUGGGCGUAAAGCGAGCGCAGGCGGAAUGAUAAGUCUGAUGUGAAAGCCCACGGCUCAACCGUGGAACUGCAUCGGAAACUGUCAUUCUUGAGUGCAGAAGAGGAGAGUGGAACUCCAUGUGUAGCGGUGGAAUGCGUAGAUAUAUGGAAGAACACCAGUGGCGAAGGCGGCUCUCUGGUCUGCAACUGACGCUGAGGCUCGAAAGCAUGGGUAGCGAACAGGAUUAGAUACCCUGGUAGUCCAUGCCGUAAACGAUGAGCGCUAGGUGUUGGGGACUUUCCGGUUCUCAGUGCCGCAGCAAACGCAUUAAGCGCUCCGCCUGGGGAGUACGACCGCAAGGUUGAAA
Molecule: ribosomal RNA, 553 nt
Filed under: uncultured bacterium
Lineage: Bacteria
Description: partial 16S ribosomal RNA
Rfam family: Bacterial small subunit ribosomal RNA
Source: RNAcentral